GUACUUUGCAAUUUACCAGAGACCAGUAAAAUUUAUGCCAAAGGUAGCAUUAAUUGUGAGAUUUGACUUAUAAUUUGAACCCAGAAUUGGUCAUACGGUACAGAGUAACUAGAUAAGAGUUGCUGAUUGUAAUUAUGGACCUGCGAAAUAAAAGCAUGUCCUUUUAGCAUGAUAUUAGCAAGGGAUCAUGCAUAUGUUUUAGACUCAAUGUUUUACCGAACACAUUAAGUCAUGUGCUCAGAAAUGAACAUUUGCAAUUGAGUUGAAUACAGAUAUAUGGUAUUUCUCUAAUAAUUACUUUUUAUGAGUUGAGGCAUUGAUGUUAAAUUGAAUUUGCUAUAUUUUGAGAAAAAUUUCAAGCAUACUUCUUCAAAGAAAUCUGGUGAUUGUUGCAUCAAUUUCCCUUUUCUCUUUAAGUGUGCACUUGAGACCUUUGUGAAAAUAUUUCUAAUCCAUGUAUCAAAUUAUUUAUUUGACCAGAUUAAUUGAUUCUGUUCUUAGUUUGGUG
Molecule: unclassified non-coding RNA, 508 nt
Filed under: Hevea brasiliensis (rubber tree)
Lineage: Eukaryota; Viridiplantae; Streptophyta; Magnoliopsida; Malpighiales; Euphorbiaceae
Source: RNAcentral